Molecule: ribosomal RNA, 484 nt
Filed under: uncultured bacterium
Lineage: Bacteria
Description: partial 16S ribosomal RNA
Rfam family: Bacterial small subunit ribosomal RNA
Source: RNAcentral
AUCGAACGCUGGCGGCAGGCCUAACACAUGCAAGUCGAGCGGAAGAAGGGAGCUUGCUCCUGGAUUCAGCGGCGGACGGGUGAGUAAUGCCUAGGAAUCUGCCUGGUAGUGGGGGACAACGUCCGGAAACGGGCGCUAAUACCGCAUACGUCCCGAGGGAGACAGUGGGGGAUCUUCGGACCUCGCGAUAGCAGAUGAGCCUAGGUCGGAUUAGCUAGUUGGUGGGGUAAAGGCCUGCCAAGGCGACGCUCACUAACUGGGCGAGGAGUGUGAGCAGUCACACUGGAAUUGGGACACGGUCCCGGCUCCUACGGGUGGCAGCAGUGGGGGUUGUUGGUCAUUGGGCGAGAGCCUGAUCCAGCCGUGCCGCGUGUGUGUAGAGGGUCUUCGGAUUGUGGAGCUCUUUAAGUUGGGAGGGAGGGCAGUAAGUUAGUUCCGUGCUGUGUUGACGUUACUAACAGAAUAAGCACCGGCUAACUUCGUG